This 412-nucleotide long non-coding RNA is filed under the name Homo sapiens (human). Its description in RNAcentral is "HSALNT0039676". The record is from RNAcentral. Lineage: Eukaryota; Metazoa; Chordata; Mammalia; Primates; Hominidae.
UGAUGACAUUCCUUCCUGCAUUCAAGUCACCAGCGGGAGGUGCGGUGCCUCGGAGUCGUUGUCGUGUUUGGAGGUUUUGACUGCGGCCUGCCAUGCUGGGAUCCACCUGGAACGGGGUGAGAACAGAGGGCUCUGGAUGGAGAGGAGAGGAGGCCGGGGAGAGACCGCGAGUGUUCCUGGAGCCUGGCGUCUGAGCAGGCCCUUGGAGGAGGGGCAGCACUGAUGGAGAGGAGGCUCAGCACUGAUGGAGAGGAGGCUCCUGCGGACGCGUGGCGGGAACAGCUUCCUCCCAGAGUUCCCUGCAGCCCAGAAUGGGGAGGGGGCACCCAGGGUCGGGGCAGCGGAAGGCCCUGCCUGCCAGGCAGGCUGAUUGGAACGCCCUCCUGUGAGUGAUGGGGGUCCAGGAAAGUUU